This is a non-coding RNA of Budorcas taxicolor (takin), 366 nucleotides long. The record is from the annotation of a RefSeq genome assembly. NCBI's taxonomy places the organism in Eukaryota, Metazoa, Chordata, Mammalia, Artiodactyla, Bovidae.
AUGCCUCUCUCCAGUCUUCUCUGGGUGUUCCUGGCCUUCACCUUCUCUGGAUCUAGUGCGGCCCAGAAAGUUACUCAGUAUCAGCCAGACAUAACCAGUCAAGUGUGGAACGUAGUCAUCUUGAACUGUCAGUAUGAAACAAGUUGGAACGUGUACACCUACUGGAUAUUUUGGUACAAGCAGCUUCCCAGUGGAGAGAUGACUUACCUCAUUCAUCAGUAUUCAGAAGAUGGGAAUGAAAGGGACGGCCACUACUCUGUAAACUUUCAGGAAGCACAUAAGUUCAUCAGCCUCACCAUUUCAUCCUUAAAGCUGGAGCAUUCUGGAAAAUACUUCUGUGCUCUCUGGGAAUGCACAGUGCAUUGA